RNAcentral lists this ribosomal RNA (241 nucleotides) under uncultured bacterium. RNAcentral's name for it is "partial 16S ribosomal RNA". It matches the Rfam family "Bacterial small subunit ribosomal RNA", at positions 15 to 239 of the family's 1533-position model. The record is from RNAcentral.
GAUCAUGGCUCAGGAUGAACGCUGGCGGCGUGCUUAACACAUGCAAGUCGAACGGGAAACCUUUUAUUGAAGCUUCGGCAGAUUUAGCUGGUUUCUAGUGGCGGACGGGUGAGUAAUGCGUGGGUAACCUGCCUUGUACAGGGGGAUAACAGUCAGAAAUGACUGCUAAUACCGCAUAAGCGCACAGAGCUGCAUGGCUCCGUGUGAAAAACUCCGGUGGUAUAAGAUGGACCCGCGUUGG